AUCGCUUCUUGGCCUUUUGGCUAAGAUCAAGUGUAGUAAACGUCUUUUGAUGACUACCUAUAAAAUCCAUGGAUGAGAAAAUUAUUAAGAAAGAACUUUGUUGUAUAUUUCAGUUCUUUUCAGAAUUUUUGCCAAAAAAUUCUGUGUUUA
This is a small nuclear RNA of Heterocephalus glaber (naked mole-rat), 150 nucleotides long. Its record names the gene U2. It matches the Rfam family "U2 spliceosomal RNA". From Rfam's summary of the family: U2 is a small nuclear RNA (snRNA) component of the spliceosome (involved in pre-mRNA splicing). Complementary binding between U2 snRNA (in an area lying towards the 5' end but 3' to hairpin I) and the branchpoint sequence (BPS) of the intron results the bulging out of an unpaired adenosine, on the BPS, which initiates a nucleophilic attack at the intronic 5' splice site, thus starting the first of two transesterification reactions that mediate splicing. Lineage: Eukaryota; Metazoa; Chordata; Mammalia; Rodentia; Bathyergidae. The record is from Ensembl.